This is a long non-coding RNA of Frieseomelitta varia, 148 nucleotides long. RefSeq lists it as uncharacterized. The transcript is spliced from 3 exons. The record is from RefSeq and is a predicted model, not a curated record. NCBI's taxonomy places the organism in Eukaryota, Metazoa, Arthropoda, Insecta, Hymenoptera, Apidae.
GACGUUUGCUCUUCCUAUCUCGAUAAGUAGCCGAGUUGCGGACGAAUACGAAUUGUGGGUUAUGCGUUCGAUAACUGUCUGUGCAUAUGUCGUUCGAACGAAAUGGCGCCACAGAAUCACGUUCGUUGCGCAACAUUUCAGAAAACGG